AUCGGUUUGAAGUACAGACCUUAUGAAAGCAGUUUUAGUAAAGUAGUUCUCAGUAUUAGCGAUAUCCGACAGAUACCUCUUCUUCCGCGAAUUUCCUUCUAGUGCCCCCAUAAGUUUCCACUGAAUUGCAGACCUCAUUCGCCAUUAUGGCGGCCUAAAAAAACAAUGAAGGAAGUAUCUAUGUCUAAUAAAAUGACUGGUUUAGUAAAAUGGUUUGACGCUGGUAAAGGUUUUGGUUUCAUUUCUCCUGCUGAUGGCAGCAAAGACGUGUUCGUACACUUCUCUGCAAUCCAGGGUAAUGAUUACAAGACGCUUGAUGAAGGCCAGCAGGUUGAAUUCAGCAUCGAAAAUGGCGCCAAAGGCCCAUCAGCAGUUAACGUUACAGCAAUGUAAUGU
This 396-nucleotide small RNA is filed under the name Serratia fonticola. RNAcentral describes it as "cspA thermoregulator". It matches the Rfam family "cspA thermoregulator", at positions 1 to 376 of the family's 428-position model. The record is from Rfam by way of RNAcentral. Lineage: Bacteria; Pseudomonadati; Pseudomonadota; Gammaproteobacteria; Enterobacterales; Yersiniaceae.